RNAcentral lists this ribosomal RNA (776 nucleotides) under uncultured bacterium. RNAcentral's name for it is "bacterial SSU rRNA". It matches the Rfam family "Bacterial small subunit ribosomal RNA", at positions 8 to 796 of the family's 1533-position model. The record is from RNAcentral.
AGAGUUUGAUCAUGGCUCAGGACGAACGCUGGCGGCGUGCUUAACACAUGCAAGUCGAACGGACCUGCAGGGCUUGCUCUGCAGGUUAGUGGCGAACGGGUGAGUAACACGUGAGCAAUCUGCCCCUGACUCUGGGAUAACUGCGGGAAACUGUAGCUAAUACUGGAUAUGACGCGCGAAGGCAUCUUCUGCGCGUGGAAAGAAUUUCGGUCAGGGAUGAGCUCGCGGCCUAUCAGCUUGUUGGUGAGGUAAUGGCUCACCAAGGCGACGACGGGUAGCCGGCCUGAGAGGGUGACCGGCCACACUGGGACUGAGACACGGCCCAGACUCCUACGGGAGGCAGCAGUGGGGAAUAUUGCACAAUGGGCGAAAGCCUGAUGCAGCAACGCCGCGUGAGGGACGACGGCCUUCGGGUUGUAAACCUCUUUUGUCAGGGAAGAGGCGAAAGUGACGGUACCUGAAGAAAAAGCACCGGCUAACUACGUGCCAGCAGCCGCGGUAAUACGUAGGGUGCAAGCGUUGUCCGGAAUUAUUGGGCGUAAAGAGCUCGUAGGCGGUCUGUCGCGUCUGCUGUGAAAACCCGAGGCUCAACCUCGGGCCUGCAGUGGGUACGGGCAGACUAGAGUGCGGUAGGGGGAGAUUGGAAUUCCUGGUGUAGCGGUGGAAUGCGCAGAUAUCAGGAGGAACACCGAUGGCGAAGGCAGAUCUCUGGGCCGUAACUGACGCUGAGGAGCGAAAGCGUGGGGAGCGAACAGGAUUAGAUACCCUAGUAGUCC